This is an RNA transcript of Gorilla gorilla gorilla (western lowland gorilla), 4372 nucleotides long. It is a transcript of the gene named NOC3 like DNA replication regulator, with no coding region annotated. The record is from RefSeq and is a predicted model, not a curated record. Lineage: Eukaryota; Metazoa; Chordata; Mammalia; Primates; Hominidae. The transcript has 22 exons.
CAACCGGCCCAGGGCCGCGAGACAGUCACCGCGAGAGGGCGCGAGCCCGAACCUGUCUACGGAAGUCCCGCCCUCACUUCCGGCGGCGGAGGAUUGGGAGGGACUGAAGGCCGCUUCCGGCUCUGGUAGUGUAGGGGCUUCGGCACGUGUGUCAUUCCCCGGGAUUUGUGUAGUAACCCUGCUUCUGGUGAACUUGUCUGGCCGGCAUUCAUUUAAGGCCUAAGGAUGAAGGCGAGAAGAAAUAAAAAACAGAUCCCAAGCUUUCGCAAGUUAAUAAAAACUAGUAAAGUCAAACUUGAAAACAAGCUGAAAAAUAAGCAGUUUAAACAACAAAGCACUCUCAAGAAGUACCGAAAAGAACAGAGGAAACUAAGGCAAGCUGUGAAAGAUGCUGUGUCUAAGAAACCCAUUCCAUUGGAGAACCCAAAGGAAAAGCGACCAGGUAAAAGGAUUGAGAGGGAAGAAGAGGAAGAAGAAGAAGCCCUUCCUUUAGAUAUGAUGGAUGAAGAUGACUUACAGUUAAUGAAGGAUUUAGGACAAAGAGCAUCUUUUCUAACAAGAGAUCUUUCUUCUAGUGAGCCUGUUCAUGCGAAGAAACGGAAGCAUGAACGCAUUAUAGAUAAAUAUGAAAAAAUACCAAGAACUCUGCAAACUGCACCAGAGAAGGAACUGAUUCAUUUGCUUCCUAUCAAAGAUAAAAGUGGUAUAAUCCCACAGACUAGGGAGAAGCCAGUUACUGAUAGUAACAAAGAUGAAGAGGAUCAAGAAGAAGAGAGGGAACUUGAGGAAGAGAUCAUUGAAGAUCCUAUUCAAGAGCUGACCAUAGAAGAACAUUUGAUUGAGAGAAAGAAGAAAUUACAGGAGAAGAAGAUGCAUAUUGCAGCCUUGGCAUCUGCAAUAUUAUCAGAUCCAGAAAAUAAUAUUAAAAAAUUGAAAGAAUUACGUUCUAUGUUGAUGGAACAAGAUCCUGAUGUGGCUGUUACUGUUCGAAAGCUGGUAAUUGUUUCUCUGAUGGAGUUAUUUAAAGAUAUUACUCCUUCAUAUAAAAUCCGGCCCCUCACAGAAGCAGAAAAAUCUACUAAGACCCGAAAAGAAACCCAGAAGUUAAGAGAAUUUGAAGAAGGCCUGGUUAGCCAAUACAAGUUUUAUUUGGAAAAUCUGGAACAAAUGGUUAAAGAUUGGAAGCAGAGGAAGCUGAAGAAAAGUAAUGUAGUUUCCUUAAAGGCAUACAAAGGACUGGCAGAAGUCGCUGUGAAGAGCUUGUGUGAGCUGUUGGUGGCACUACCUCAUUUUAACUUUCACAACAACAUCAUCGUAUUGAUUGUCCCUCUCAUGAAUGACAUGUCAAAAUUGAUAUCUGAAAUGUGUUGUGAAGCUGUGAAGAAACUCUUUAAGCAAGAUAAAUUAGGCCAAGCUUCUCUUGGUGUAAUUAAAGUGAUUUCUGGUUUUGUGAAGGGCAGAAAUUAUGAAGUUAGGCCAGAGAUGUUAAAAACAUUUUUAUGCCUAAGAAUCAAGGAAGUAGAAGUGAAAAAAGAUACAGAAGACAUUAAUAAACCAAAAAAAUUUAUGACUUUCAAAGAAAAGAGAAAAUCUCUAUCAAGAAUGCAGAGAAAGUGGAAGAAAGCAGAAGAGAAACUAGAGCGAGAGCUUCGAGAGGCAGAAGCUUCAGAGAGUACCGAGAAAAAACUUAAACUGCACACAGAGACUCUGAAUAUUGUGUUUGUAACCUACUUCAGAAUAUUGAAGAAGGCCCAGAGGUCACCUCUCCUGCCAGCAGUUCUAGAAGGUCUUGCCAAGUUUGCUCACCUUAUAAAUGUGGAAUUUUUUGAUGAUCUGUUAGUAGUUCUUCAUACUCUCAUUGAGUCUGGUGACCUAAGCUAUCAAGAAAGUCUUCACUGUGUCCAGACUGCUUUUCAUAUUCUUUCUGGACAAGGUGAUGUUCUGAAUAUUGAUCCAAUGAAAUUCUACACACAUCUCUACAAAACACUGUUCAAAUUACAUGCAGGUGCUACCAAUGAAGGUGUUGAGAUUGUACUCCAGUGCCUUGAUGUUAUGCUAACUAAGCGCAGAAAGCAAGUUUCUCAGCAGCGAGCUCUUGCCUUCAUCAAACGCCUUUGUACCCUUGCUCUUCAUGUUCUUCCAAAUUCAAGUAUUGGCAUUUUAGCAACUACCAGAAUAUUAAUGCAUACUUUCCCCAAAACAGAUCUACUGCUUGACAGUGAAUCUCAGGGAAGUGGAGUUUUCCUUCCUGAACUGGAUGAGCCUGAGUACUGCAAUGCUCAGAACACUGCUCUGUGGGAACUGCAUGCUCUGCGGAGGCAUUAUCAUCCCAUAGUGCAGAGAUUUGCAGCCCACCUGAUCGCUGGAGCACCUUCUGAAGGCUCUGGAGCACUCAAACCAGAGUUGAGUCGAAGAUCUGCUACUGAACUUUUUGAGGCAUAUAGCAUGGCAGAAAUGACAUUCAAUCCUCCUGUUGAAUCUUCAAACCCCAAAAUAAAGGGUAAAUUUUUACAAGGGGAUUCAUUUUUGAAUGAAGAUUUAAAUCAGCUAAUCAAAAGAUACUCCAGUGAAGUUGCUACUGAAUCGCCUCUGGAUUUCACGAAAUAUUUGAAAACAUCACUACACUAGUAGAGGAAUGAAGUCAGUGGACUUUCUUGUAUAUUUGUGUGUGCAGAUGUACAUAAAGAUGAGUUGUUAACUUAGGAUCUUUUCUUUUUAUACAAGGAAAGCUUCCUAAGAAUGUCUAGGAAGAGGAGGAAGAAUGACCCUUUGCAUGGCACAGGGUUCUGCCCCUAUUCUGAAUAUGUCAUUCCAUCAAGGAGAUCAAAAGCCUUUUUUUCUCCCCAGUAUUUGGAAAUUACUUUCUUGAUGAUGCUGCCUUUUAAAAGCUUCACGUACAUUAUAGUUUUUUAAAAAAAUCUUUGGACUGGAUCUUACUGAAGUGCAGUUGCUAUAUUAAAAUUAGGGCAUAGAGCACAGAAAAAUCAAGACCAUGAGAAGACAUUUUACCAUUUAGCUACUUUUUAUAACUAAAUACUCUUUAAAUAUUUUUAUUUCAAUACUGUGGAUGGAAAUGAGAAGCAUUCUAAAUUUGAGUUAAUAUAUUUUUAUGAAGAUAUUUGAGAAAAGAAAAAAAUAGCUUGUAUUCAGGUUCAUUGGCUUUUGCUGGAUGAUCCACCUAAAGAAGUUACCUAAUUUGGCCUUUUAAAAAAGGUGUUAGUGUUUAUUAUAGCUACUUUCAAGGAAAGUUUGAAUAUGAUUCUAGUCUCUGAAGUUCUUCAUGUUUUCUGACAUUCCCUGGAGGGUGACUGGGGAAGAAUUGCUCCAGGGUAGAAGAACCAGGCCCAAGACUUUACCAUUCUGUUCUAGAGACAAAGGAUACUCAAUGAGGAGCUUUUUUCCCCUCUUGGAACAGACGAAGUCUCACUCUUGUUGCCCAGGCUAAAGCGCAAUGGCAUGAUCUCGGCUCACUGCAACCUCUGCCUCCCAGGUUCAAGCGAUUCUCCUGCCUCAGCCUCCCAAGUAGCUGGGAUUACAGGUGCCUGCCACCACGCCCAGCUAAUUUUUGUAUUUUUAGUAGAGAUGGGGUUUCACCAUGUUGGCCAGGCUGGUCUCGAACUCCUGACCUCAGGCGAUCCACCCGCCUUGGCCGCACAAAGUGUUGGGAUUACAGGCGUGAGCCACCAUGCCCAGCAAUUUUUGUACUUUUUGUAAAGACAGGGUUUUGCCAUGUCAGCCAUGCUGGUCUCAAACUCAUGAGCUCAAGUGAUCUGCCCACCUCAGCCUCCCAAACUGCUGGGAUUACAGGUGUGAGCCACUGGGUCGGUUUUUUUUUUUUUUCAGUUAGAGACAGGGCCUCACUCUGUCAUCCAGGCUGCAGUGCAGUGGCCAGUCAUAGCUCACUGCAGCCUCCAACUCCUGUGCUCAAGUAAUCCUCCUGCCUCAGCCUCCUAAAACUGGGAUUACAGGCAUGAGCCACCAUGUGAGGCAAUUUCCCAGCCUUAAGAGGCACACACUCCCCUUUGAGGUCCCUGUUGUUCAGGAACUUCACUCAUAAAAUGAGCCAUCAGUGCACAGACAUUUGUUACAAUAAUUUAUGCUGAGGAAAGGACUGAGGUGAGGAAGGGAGAGGCUUUUACCUGCUGAAUGACAUCCUGUGCAGUGCUGACGCGGGGUGCUUUGAUGACUGUUCGAGGUUGCUCUGGAGAAACAUCAUGCACUUGGACAAAGAAACUCUCCUCCUCUGAGCUCAAGAUCACCUCUUUGUCAUCUUGAACAAUGUUUUUCUCUUCUAGGUUCUAUGUUUAAAAAGAAAAAAAUGUGAGUAAAUAAUAGGUUUAUGCAGAAUAAAGAAAGACAAAUCUAGCAAAAA